UACAGAGGUCUCAAGCGUUGUUCGGAUUCAUUGGGCGUAAAGGGCGCGUAGGCGGCGGGGUAAGUCGGGUGUGAAAUCUCAGAGCUCAACUCUGAAACUGCACUCGAUACUGCUCUGCUUGAGGACUGGAGAGGAGACUGGAAUUCACGGUGUAGCAGUGAAAUGCGUAGAUAUCGGGAGGAACACCAGUGGCGAAGGCGGCUCUCUGGGGUAUUGCUGACGCUGAGGCACGAAAGCCAGGGGAGCGAACGGG
This 253-nucleotide ribosomal RNA is filed under the name uncultured bacterium. Its description in RNAcentral is "partial 16S ribosomal RNA". It matches the Rfam family "Bacterial small subunit ribosomal RNA", at positions 524 to 776 of the family's 1533-position model. The record is from RNAcentral.